This 66-nucleotide transfer RNA is filed under the name Halicryptus spinulosus. Its description in RNAcentral is "transfer RNA-Leu (CUN)". The record is from RNAcentral. Lineage: Eukaryota; Metazoa; Priapulida; Priapulimorpha; Priapulimorphida; Priapulidae.
GUUAAUUUGGCAGAGAAGUGCAAUGAAUUUAGAAUUCAUUUAUGUAAUAUAUUAUUACAAUUAAUA